GAGUUUGAUCCUGGCUCAGGACGAACGCUGGCGGCGUGCCUAAUACAUGCAAGUCGAACGAAACUUUCUUACACCGAAUGCUUGCAUUCAUCGUAAGAAGUUGAGUGGCGGACGGGUGAGUAACACGUGGGUAACCUGCCUAAAAGAAGGGGAUAACACUUGGAAACAGGUGCUAAUACCGUAUAUCUCUAAGGAUCGCAUGAUCCUUAGAUGAAAGAUGGUUCUGCUAUCGCUUUUAGAUGGACCCGCGGCGUAUUAACUAGUUGGUGGGGUAACGGCCUACUAAGGUGAUGAUACGUAGCCGAACUGAGAGGUUGAUCGGCCACAUUGGGACUGAGACACGGCCCAAACUCCUACGGGAGGCAGCAGUAGGGAAUCUUCCACAAUGGACGCAAGUCUGAUGGAGCAACGCCGCGUGAGUGAAGAAGGUCUUCGGAUCGUAAAACUCUGUUGUUAGAGAAGAACACGAGUGAGAGUAACUGUUCAUUCGAUGACGGUAUCUAACCAGCAAGUCACGGCUAACUACGUGCCAGCAGCCGCGGUAAUACGUAGGUGGCAAGCGUUGUCCGGAUUUAUUGGGCGUAAAGGGAACGCAGGCGGUCUUUUAAGUCUGAUGUGAAAGCCUUCGGCUUAACCGGAGUAGUGCAUUGGAAACUGGAAGACUUGAGUGCAGAAGAGGAGAGUGGAACUCCAUGUGUAGCGGUGAAAUGCGUAGA
This 716-nucleotide ribosomal RNA is filed under the name uncultured bacterium. Its description in RNAcentral is "bacterial SSU rRNA". It matches the Rfam family "Bacterial small subunit ribosomal RNA", at positions 9 to 694 of the family's 1533-position model. The record is from RNAcentral.